CGCGUGGUUGCCAUGGGCGCAGCCUGAUGCAGCCAUGCCGCGUGUAUGAAGAAGGCCUUCGGGUUGUAAGUACUUUCAGCGAGGAGGAAGGUGUUGUGGUUAAUAACCGCAGCAAUUGACGUUACUCGCAGAAAAAGCACCGGCUAACUCCGUGCCAGCAGCCGCGGUAAU
This 171-nucleotide ribosomal RNA is filed under the name uncultured bacterium. RNAcentral describes it as "partial 16S ribosomal RNA". It matches the Rfam family "Bacterial small subunit ribosomal RNA", at positions 353 to 524 of the family's 1533-position model. The record is from RNAcentral.